GUAGGGUGCAAGCGUUGUCCGGAAUUAUUGGGCGUAAAGAGCUCGUAGGCGGUUCGUCGCGUCGGCUGUGAAAACCCGGAGCUCAACUCCGGGCCUGCAGUCGAUACGGGCGGACUUGAGUGUUGCAGGGGAGACUGGAAUUCCUGGUGUAGCGGUGAAAUGCGCAGAUAUCAGGAGGAACACCGGUGGCGAAGGCGGGUCUCUGGGCAACUACUGACGCUGAGGAGCGAAAGCGUGGGGAGCGAACAGGAUUAGAUACCCUGGUAGUCCACGCCGUAAACGUUGGGCGCUAGGUGUGGGGGCCAUUCCACGGUCUCCGUGCCGCAGCUAACGCAUUAAGCGCCCCGCCUGGGGAGUACGGCCGCAAGGCUA
Molecule: ribosomal RNA, 372 nt
Filed under: uncultured bacterium
Lineage: Bacteria
Description: bacterial SSU rRNA
Rfam family: Bacterial small subunit ribosomal RNA
Source: RNAcentral